ACUAAAUGACAACAGGUGUACGUUCCCACUUCACUUGCCACACCUAUUAAUUUCGAGUUCUCGACUGUGUAUUAAGGUUAGCCUAUUGAACUUGUUAAUCGAUAUUCUCUCUAUUUCUAAUUUCAAGGAGCGAUCAUUCUAUUUGACUUUUACACUAACCUCGAUAUCUGUAAAUAUUGAAAUUCAAAUUCUAAAAAAACAAAUUGUAAAAAAUAACAAGGAG
Molecule: long non-coding RNA, 223 nt
Filed under: Gossypium raimondii (Peruvian cotton)
Lineage: Eukaryota; Viridiplantae; Streptophyta; Magnoliopsida; Malvales; Malvaceae
Description: long non-coding RNA (GRAI_LNC003300)
Source: RNAcentral